UACGUAGGGGGGCAAGCGUUGUCCGGAAUCAUUGGGCGUAAAGCGCGUGUAGGCGGUCCGGUAAGUCCGCUGUGAAAAGUCGGGGGGCUCAACCCUCGGAUGCCGGUGGAUACUGUCGGGCUUGAGUACGGAAGAGGCGAGUGGAAAUUCCUGGUGUAGCGGUGAAAUGCGCAGAUAUCAGGAGGAACACCAAUGCGAAGGCAGCUCGCUGGACGUUACUGACGCUGAGACGCGAAAGCGUGGGGAGCAAACAGG
This 255-nucleotide ribosomal RNA is filed under the name uncultured bacterium. Its description in RNAcentral is "partial 16S ribosomal RNA". It matches the Rfam family "Bacterial small subunit ribosomal RNA", at positions 524 to 776 of the family's 1533-position model. The record is from RNAcentral.